Actinoplanes awajinensis subsp. mycoplanecinus is the source of this 69-nucleotide non-coding RNA. It matches the Rfam family "ASpks TB sRNA". The record is from Rfam. NCBI's taxonomy places the organism in Bacteria, Bacillati, Actinomycetota, Actinomycetes, Micromonosporales, Micromonosporaceae.
CUUGACCGAACCGAGCAGCAGCGGCGUUGACCGAUCCUGCCCAUAGGUCGCCAGCAGCGCCUGCGCCUC